This 783-nucleotide unclassified non-coding RNA is filed under the name Pseudopenidiella sp. 1 IT-2017. Its description in RNAcentral is "sequence contains 28S rRNA gene". It matches the Rfam family "Eukaryotic large subunit ribosomal RNA", at positions 50 to 861 of the family's 3401-position model. The record is from RNAcentral. Lineage: Eukaryota; Fungi; Ascomycota.
GCGGAGGAAAAGAAACCAACAGGGAUUGCCUCAGUAACGGCGAGUGAAGCGGCAACAGCUCAGAUUUGAAAUCCGGCGCAAGCCAGAGUUGUAAUCUGCAGAGGAACGUUCGGUUGAGGUGCCGGUGCAAGUCUCCUGGAACGGAGCGUCACAGAGGGUGAGAAUCCCGUACCUGCCGGCAACCGACGCCAUGUGAACGUCCUUCGACGAGUCGAGUUGUUUGGGAAUGCAGCUCAAAACGGGUGGUAAAUUCCAUCUAAAGCUAAAUAUUGGCCAGAGACCGAUAGCGCACAAGUAGAGUGAUCGAAAGAUGAAAAGCACUUUGGAAAGAGGGUUAAAAAGUACGUGAAAUUGUUGAAAGGGAAGCGCUCACGAUCAGCUUCGGCCGCGGUUGCUCAGCCGGUCUUUUGACCGGUGCACUCUUCCGCGGCCCUGCCAGCAUCGGUUUGAACGGACGGACAAAGGCUUGGGGAAUGUGGCCUUCCUCGGGAGGUGUUAUAGCCCCUUGCACAAUACGUCCAGUUUGGACCGAGGUUCGCGCAUCGCUAGGAUGCUGGCUUAAUGGUCGUUAGCGGCCCGUCUUGAAACACGGACCAAGGAGUCUACCAGCUGUGCGAGUAUUAGGGCGUCAAACCCUGGAUGCGCAAUGAAAGUGAACGGAGGUGGGAGCUUCGGCGCACCAUCGACCGAUCCGGAGGUUCUCCGAAGGAUUUGAGUAAGAGCAUUGCUGGUGGGACCCGAAAGAUGGUGAACUAUGCGUGAAUAGGGUGAAGCCAGAGGAAA